AAGGUCGGGCCAUGGUGGGGCAGAGGUUGGGAAGAUGGCGUGGCGAGGCUGGGCGCAGAGAGGCUGGGGCUGCGGCCAGGCGUGGGGUGCGUCGGUGGGCGGCCGCAGCUGCGAGGAGCUCACUGCGGUCCUAACCCCGCCGCAGCUCCUCGGACGCAGGUUUAACUUCUUUAUUCAACAAAAAUGCGGAUUCAGAAAAGCACCCAGGAAGGUUGAACCUCGAAGAUCAGACCCAGGGACAAGUGGUGAAGCAUACAAGAGAAGUGCUUUGAUUCCUCCUGUGGAAGAAACAGUCUUUUAUCCUUCUCCCUAUCCUAUAAGGAGUCUCAUAAAACCUUUAUUUUUUACUGUUGGGUUUACAGGCUGUGCAUUUGGAUCAGCUGCUAUUUGGCAAUAUGAAUCACUGAAAUCCAGGGUCCAGAGUUAUUUUGAUGGUAUAAAAGCUGAUUGGUUGGAUAGCAUAAGACCACAAAAAGAAGGAGACUUCAGAAAGGAGAUUAACAAGUGGUGGAAUAACCUAAGUGAUGGCCAGCGGACUGUGACAGGUUUGUGUUAGCUUACACGUUUUAACCAUUCAAGGGAAGAGAAAUCAAACCAAAAGGUAUUAUAGCUGCAAAUGUCCUUGUAUUCUGUUUAUGGAGAGUACCUUCUCUGCAGCGGACAAUGAUCAGAUAUUUCACAUCGAAUCCAGCCUCAAAGGUCCUUUGUUCUCCAAUGUUGCUGUCAACAUUCAGUCAUUUCUCCUUAUUUCACAUGGCAGCAAAUAUGUAUGUUUUGUGGAGCUUCUCUUCCAGCAUAGUGAACAUUCUGGGUCAAGAGCAGUUCAUGGCAGUGUACCUAUCUGCAGGUGUUAUUUCCAAUUUUGUCAGUUACGUGGGUAAAGUUGCCACAGGAAGAUAUGGACCAUCACUUGGUGCAUCUGGUGCCAUCAUGACAGUCCUCGCAGCUGUCUGCACUAAGAUCCCAGAAGGGAGGCUUGCCAUUAUUUUCCUUCCGAUGUUCACGUUCACAGCAGGGAAUGCCCUGAAAGCCAUUAUCGCCAUGGAUACAGCAGGAAUGAUCCUGGGAUGGAAAUUUUUUGAUCAUGCGGCACAUCUUGGGGGAGCUCUUUUUGGAAUAUGGUAUGUUACUUACGGUCAUGAACUGAUUUGGAAGAACAGGGAGCCGCUAGUGAAAAUCUGGCAUGAAAUAAGGACUAAUGGCCCCAAAAAAGGAGGUGGCUCUAAGUAAAACUGGGAUUGGACAGUAGUGGUGCAUCUGGUCCUUGCCGCCUGAGAGCCCCAGGAGACAUCGGCUAGAGUGACCAUGGCUAUGCUCCCGUCUGGAAGAUGCCAGCAUCUGGCCUCCCACUGUUUUCAGCUGUGUCCCCCAGUCCGUGUCUUUUUAGAAUGUGAAUGAUGAUAAAGUUGUGAAAUAAAGGUUUCUAUCUAGUUUGUAAGCAGAUGUGUGUGUUCUCUCUUUAAGGGGCCGACACGGCUCUGGCAUUUUGCUUUGGUUGUUGCAUUGACAGGACCUGGGGAGAGUGCACCCUGAAAGGCCUGAUCAGAACAUGAAGGC
Homo sapiens (human) is the source of this 1557-nucleotide RNA transcript. It is a transcript of the gene named presenilin associated rhomboid like, with no coding region annotated. The record is from RefSeq and is marked reviewed. The transcript has 10 exons. Lineage: Eukaryota; Metazoa; Chordata; Mammalia; Primates; Hominidae.